Helianthus annuus (common sunflower) is the source of this 120-nucleotide non-coding RNA. NCBI's taxonomy places the organism in Eukaryota, Viridiplantae, Streptophyta, Magnoliopsida, Asterales, Asteraceae. The record is from Rfam.
GGUCGCGCAGUGAAUACAAAGCGAAGUAUUCUUUCGCCUUUUACUAAAGAAUACCGUGUAUUCGCUGCAUCAAAGUGGCAUACACCUAUUUUUGGAGAGACCCUUCAACAACUAAAGGGC